Molecule: ribosomal RNA, 421 nt
Filed under: uncultured bacterium
Lineage: Bacteria
Description: bacterial SSU rRNA
Rfam family: Bacterial small subunit ribosomal RNA
Source: RNAcentral
AUCUUCCGCAAUGGGCGAAAGCCUGACGGAGCAACGCCGCGUGUGUGAUGAAGGGUUUCGGCUCGUAAAACUCUGUUAUUAGUGAAGAACAAAUGUGUAAGUAACUGUGCACAUCUUGACGGUACCUAAUCAGAAAGCCACGGCUAACUACGUGCCAGCAGCCGCGGUAAUACGUAGGUGGCAAGCGUUAUCCGGAAUUAUUGGGCGUAAAGCGCGCGGAGGCGGUUUCGUAAGUCUGAUGAGAAAGCCCACGGCUGAACCGUGGAGGGUCAUUGGAAACUGGGAAACUUGAGUGCAGAAGAGGAAAGUGGAAUUCCAUGUGUAGCGGUGAAAUGCGCAGAGAUAUGGAGGAACACCAGUGGCGAAGGCGACUUUAUGGUCUGUAACUGACGCUGAUGUGCGAAAGCGUGGGGAUCAAACA